AUUAAGUCAUAUUUGUUAAUAGAAUCCAUUCAUCCAAGCAUCCAUCCAUCUUGCCAUCCAUCCAUUCCUUUUCCACAUCUUCUACAUUCCAGAGUAUACAAUGAAUGAUAAGUAAGUCAGAAAGUUGACUGCCACAUGGAACUUUCAUUCUAGUUAGAGAUACAACCAACAAACAAUAUGUGAUAAAUGCACAGAAGAAAUGAACAAUUCAAUAAAGAGAACAGGGAUACUUAUGUUAGGCUGGUUAAGAAAACCUGCUCUGAAAGGGUUCAGUGGUGGAGUGCUUGCCUAGCAUUGAAAAGUUUCUGGGUUCAAUCCCCAGCACAGAAAAAAUACCCCUCCACCCCCACCACCAAAAACCAAAAGCAAGCAAACAACCCCUUCUCCCAAACUAUUCUAAGGAGUUAAAAUUUAGGGAUAAGAUGGAGAUUGCCAUAUCACCAGUUAUGUCAAGAUUGUUCCAGACAGGGGGCUGGGGCAGAUCAGUGGUAGAGUGCUUGCCUAGCAUGUGCGAGGCACUGAGUUCAAUCCUUA
RNAcentral lists this long non-coding RNA (534 nucleotides) under Marmota monax (woodchuck). The record is from RNAcentral. Lineage: Eukaryota; Metazoa; Chordata; Mammalia; Rodentia; Sciuridae.